Molecule: long non-coding RNA, 371 nt
Filed under: Physcomitrium patens
Lineage: Eukaryota; Viridiplantae; Streptophyta; Bryopsida; Funariales; Funariaceae
Description: long non-coding RNA (PPAT_LNC002886)
Source: RNAcentral
CCCCAUGAAAUCCUCUCCACGAUCCCAUCUCUCAUCCCUCCUCCGCUUCCCCUCCUCCUCGAAUAAACCUCCGUCUGUUACAUCCCUCCCCUUCAGCUCCAAUCUACCACCAAUCUGCCGGAAAAAAAAUAAUAAGAAUAAUAAGAAUAACAAAUGAAACACUCCAACCCACCUCGUACAAAACUAAACCGAGUAAUGUCCGUUCCUCAAUGAGGGAAAUUUUUCUCCGAUGACGAUUCCUUCCAAGUUCCGAGAGGUGACAUUGCCGUAGGGUUACCAUGCACAAGGGUAGCGUGCUCGUUACCAGCGAGGUCGCUUCACCUCAUUGAGCAAACACGGAGAGGCAAGCAAAGCAAGCAAAACACACACAC